UAAUGAGAUGAGUCAGAAUUGAUCUUCAUUCUAAAGUUUCAAAACAAUCUUCACCUAUGCGUUAAAGAAACAACGCAUUAAGCUCGUGUAAGUAUAUCAAGAAUUAAACUUUACAUUUUAAAUUAAUCCAUUACUAUAUAUAUAUAUACACACCUUACAAAUCAAUAUCAUCACACAUGAAUUCAAUUCAUUAAUAACUAUAACGAGGUACUAAGUUAACAACUUUGUGAAUUACUUACCAUUAUCAUCAUUAUAAUCACUUACCUUAAAAAUCUAUUGCCCAAUUGUAGAUUCCAUAGAACCUAUAGGAUAAAAGUCAAUAGAUCGCACGGAAGUGCCAUUGUCAAUUGCACAAGUGUGCUACUGUCACUUGCAUCAUAGUGCCACUAUCAUUUGUGCGUAUAAAAAUCUUCCGCCACUUAUAUCCUACUAGUUCUCAUUUUAUUUAUUUGGGCAUUUAAACUAUACAAUUUAUUUACAUUUUCUCAACAAAUAAAAUAUUUCAAACUUUACUAUUUUUACAAUUUAGUCCUUAUCCAUAUAAAAUUAACAAUCAUCAAAUUUCACUUGACGUCUAUUUUUCAACAUUUAAUAUUUCACUUAAAUACUUCAUAUCAUCAUCUAUUUCACCAAUCUAACUUUUACACUCUUUGCAAUUUAGUCCUUUUCACCAAUUUCACUACACAUACACUUUUCAAUUCAUAAUAAGAAUACAAUUUCACAUUCAAAUAAAUUCCAUAAAACAAAUCAUCAUUUUCAUAUGCAAAUAUUUCUCAUGUAUAAUACUAAACCAAUUUAUCAACUUUUCCAUUUAGGGUUUAAUUAAACAAGUAAAAUUAUUGAUAUACUUACAAUCUAAUACUUGGAUGAGUCAUUUUCUUCUUCUUCACUCUUUUGCAACUCCCUUACCUUUAUCCCUAAUCUGUGCUUCACUUCUCAUCUCUUUCUCUUCAAUAACAUAAAACACAUUUACAAUAUUUAAUACCAAAACAACAAUUACAUAAUAUUCCCAUGCAUUUAGAUGAGAUAGACAUGAAAUCCUAAAUAAAUAAAUAAAAAACUUCAUCAUCUUACCUUCCUUCUCAAAUCCCUAACUUUUCGUUUCUCUCUCCACAAAUAUGUAUUCUAGCUAACUUCACAAACGACUUAACUUGCCAUGAAGUUGUU
RNAcentral lists this long non-coding RNA (1167 nucleotides) under Gossypium barbadense (sea-island cotton). RNAcentral's name for it is "long non-coding RNA (GBAR_LNC021481)". The record is from RNAcentral. Lineage: Eukaryota; Viridiplantae; Streptophyta; Magnoliopsida; Malvales; Malvaceae.